RNAcentral lists this ribosomal RNA (305 nucleotides) under uncultured bacterium. RNAcentral describes it as "bacterial SSU rRNA". It matches the Rfam family "Bacterial small subunit ribosomal RNA", at positions 338 to 660 of the family's 1533-position model. The record is from RNAcentral.
CCUACGGGAGGCAGCAGUGGGGAAUAUUGCACAAUGGGGGAAACCCUGAUGCAGCGAUGCCGCGUGGAGGAAGAAGGUUUUCGGAUUGUAAACUCCUUUUAUCAGGGACGAUAAUGACGGUACCUGACUAAGAAGCCCCGGCUAACUACGUGCCAGCAGCCGCGGUAAUACGUAGGGGGCAAGCGUUAUCCGGAUUUACUGGGUGUAAAGGGUGCGUAGGUGGCAGGGCAAGUCAGAUGUGAAAGCCCGGGGCUCAACCCCGGUACUGCAUUUGAAACUGUCCAGCUGGAGUGCAGGAGAGGAAA